Molecule: non-coding RNA, 148 nt
Organism: Caenorhabditis elegans
Lineage: Eukaryota; Metazoa; Nematoda; Chromadorea; Rhabditida; Rhabditidae
Source: Ensembl
UAUAGGUUGGAAGUUCGGACCACUUAGUGGGUGACCGAAUGAGACGUGUUGGCAGAAGCCAAAAUGUGGUGAGAUAGUAAAUUGGAAGAGCCGGACAAGAGCAAGUGUCAAAAACAAUCAUCCAAUUGUAUAAUUUGACGCGAUUUGC